This is a long non-coding RNA of Amphiprion ocellaris (clown anemonefish), 1030 nucleotides long. The record is from Ensembl. NCBI's taxonomy places the organism in Eukaryota, Metazoa, Chordata, Actinopteri, Pomacentridae.
UGUGGUCUUUCUGUUUCUAGGUGGAAGCUGAAUUAGUGAGGAUGACUCCUGCUCCUGUCAUCUCUAAGCUCCUCACACAUCUUUACCUGCACAUGAGGAAAAUCACUCCUGUAGAAUGCAGAUGUUCAGAGGGAGAUGAUGCCACAUCUGGUCCAGCUGAUGGAUGGUCUUGAAGUUCUCUGACUGGCCUGGACUGAAGAUGGUCGUCUCACUGGAUUUAAGGUUCAGAUGCUCAGUAACAAACUCCACCAAUGAGCCAACAGGGAAGCUUUAAGUUUAUUAAAUGUUGCUAUGAAGGUACCGCUGUUUUUCUUUGUGAAUGCAAUGUGCUCCAACUGAAACUUGAAUUAGAAGUAAAUCCUUCCAUUUGAAAGGAUUUAGUUGCAUUAAUAACCUCAUAACAUUCAAAUUUUUAUUCCAGUCUUGGUUGAAAAUAGAAUCUCUGCAUUGAUUCAGGUAAAAACUGAACUUCACAGCAUGUUGGAGCAAAACAACCAGAUGAAAACUGUGAAGGUGUUGGAUUGUCAGACCGUAAUGUUGCAGCUCAAAGCAGCUUUUCUAUCUCAGUUCAUUCUGACAUUAAGCUAUGAAUCAACACAGCAGAUGGUGAUCCAUGCUGUGGAAGUCUCACAUCUCCUGAUUUAAUGGAGCUGCUUUGCACUUUUUACACUGUUUAUUCACCAACACUUUAUUUAAUAAAAGUCCCAUCUAGUUUUUAUGAGGAAUGUGAUGUUUUAAUUUCUCUGUGAAUAACUGCAGUCUAAUGUAACAGCUGGAGUUGUAACAUCUGUCCUGAUAUUGAUCAUGAAGUAUUGAUGAGAAUACUUAUGGUUAGCAGUCAUUCCUGAAGUUUUACAUUAAAAUCUUUACUUGUGUUGUGAACUUUGGUAAGAAGCAGAAACGUUAGCGUUGCCAUGGAUAUAUGAGUGUUAAAUUCUGUCCAUGUUUCAUUUUGGGAAAUUCAGUCCAGUUCCAGAAUGUGGAGGAAUUUAGUCUCAAUCACAGACAACAAAUAUUAUCUGAAAGUCGG